GCGCCCGUAGCUCAGCGGAUAGAGCGUCAGGUUGCGGACCUGAAGGUCGUGGGUUCGAGUCCCGCCGGGCGCGCCA
This 76-nucleotide transfer RNA is filed under the name Chloroflexi bacterium RBG_16_70_13. RNAcentral's name for it is "tRNA-Arg". It matches the Rfam family "tRNA". Rfam says of the family: Transfer RNA (tRNA) molecules are approximately 80 nucleotides in length. Lineage: Bacteria; Bacillati; Chloroflexota. The record is from RNAcentral. RNAcentral also lists the same sequence under 12 other names.